This 288-nucleotide unclassified non-coding RNA is filed under the name uncultured fungus. Its description in RNAcentral is "partial contains 5.8S rRNA, ITS2 and 28S rRNA". It matches the Rfam family "Eukaryotic large subunit ribosomal RNA", at positions 668 to 961 of the family's 3401-position model. The record is from RNAcentral. Lineage: Eukaryota; Fungi.
AAGGAGUCCAACACAUACGCGAGUGUUUGGGUGGCAAACCCGAGCGCGAAAUGAAAGUGAAUGUAGGUGGGAUCCUUCGGGUGCACCAUCGACCGGUCUGGAUUCUUUUGAAAGAUCUGAGUAAGAGCGUAUUUGUUGGGACCCGAAAGAUGGUGAACUAUGCCUGAAUAGGGUGAAGUCAGAGGAAACUCUGAUGGAAGCUCGUAGCAGUUCUGACAUGCAAAUCGAUCGUCAUAUUUGGGUAAAGGGACGAAAGAAUACUCGCACCACCAGGUAGCUGGUUCCCUC